RNAcentral lists this long non-coding RNA (1151 nucleotides) under Vigna radiata. RNAcentral describes it as "long non-coding RNA (VRAD_LNC014347)". Lineage: Eukaryota; Viridiplantae; Streptophyta; Magnoliopsida; Fabales; Fabaceae. The record is from RNAcentral.
AAGAAAUACACCCUAAAAGCACUUUUACAAAAAAUCAAACAAAAUUAAACAAAACAGAAUAAAAACCAAUAAUUACAAACAAGUCAAAUGUCAAUCAAUUCACACUACUAAAAAAAUAACUUCGAUCCCCAGCAACGGCGCCAAAAACUUAUUGACUCACUGGCAAGUGUACCAGAUCGUUUAAGUAAUAUAAUUGGUAAAUCCCGAUAUCGUUCUUCCCAAGAGACUCGAAAGGCCUUAUCGUUCGUGUGAAUCGAAAUCGUAAGACUUGUAGAGAAAAAAAUUAAUUGUGUGGAAUGCAAGGACAGAAAAUAAACAUGCAAUGUGUUUGAUUCAAUUGACAAAAAAGACUAUGGAUGAAUGAAGUUGUUGGGGGUUGACAAUUUCGCCUUAUCCGCUCCCUUUUAUCUACUCCUCUUGUUUAAUGUGCUUGAUUAUCUAAUUGUUAUGCGAACUUUCUUGGCCUACCCUUAACCCGAUCCCUCGGCGAAAAGAGCCUAUUACUAAUUACCGGCUUGUUAUCCCUAGCCUCCCCUAGCAAUUAGCUCUUAUCUACUCCUCUUGUUUAAUGUGCUUGAUUAUCUAAUUGUUAUGCGAACUUUCUUGGCCUACCCUUAACCCGAUCCCUCGGCGAAAAGAGCCUAUUACUAAUUACCGGCUUGUUAUCCCUAGCCUCCCCUAACAAUUAGCAAUGCAUUACCGAACAGAAGCAAAAACAAUUGAUCGUCCUACCUCCCUAUCCCUAGUUUGUAUUUCAUUAAUCAAGGAAUUUCUCACCAGUUCAUGACAGUACUAUACGUUCCCGUAUCAAUAGAGACAAACAACAGUUAUCGAAUGAGUUAAACGAUAAAAGCUUUAAGCGCAGAUGAGAACCCAACAAUUGAUAAUCAAAGCAUAUGAAGAAUCAUAUAAAUAAACAAGAGUUUCAAUAAAAGAGAGUUUCAAAAGAUUACAUUGUUUCCCCUAACAACAAAAGGGUUUAGUUCACCAUUGUCAUGGUGAACCUANAUGAAAAUAAUGGAAGAAUGGAAGAGCAAACCCUAGAUAGGAUGAAAAGGAGCUUAAGCAUCCAAGAAAUCUUCUCCAAGGAGUGAAAAUUAGGUAUGGCCGCCCUCUUUCUUUCAAAAGAAUGAGAAUGAAAUCAUAACAGG